CAUGGCGGCAUGCUUACCAUGCAGUCGAACGGUGAAGGGACCAGCUUGCUGGUUCUGGAUGAGUGGCGAACGGGUGAGUAACACGUGAGUAACCUGCCCCCUUCUUCUGGAUAACCGCAUGAAAGUGUGGCUAAUACGGGAUAUUCUGGGUCUGUCGCAUGACGGGCCCGGGAAAGAUAUUGUUUCGGUGGGGGAUGGGCUCGCGGCCUAUCAGCUUGUUGGUGGGGUGAUGGCCUACCAAGGCGGUGACGGGUAGCCGGCCUGAGAGGGUGGACGGUCACACUGGGACUGAGACACGGCCCAGACUCCUACGGGAGGCAGCAGUGGGGAAUAUUGCACAAUGGGCGCAAGCCUGAUGCAGCGACGCCGCGUGAGGGAUGGAGGCCUUCGGGUUGUAAACCUCUUUCGCCAGUGAAGCAGGCCUGCUCCUUGUGGGUGGGUUGACGGUAGCUGGAUAAGAAGCGCCGGCUAACUACGUGCCAGCAGCCGCGGUAAUACGUAGGGCGCGAGCGUUGUCCGGAAUUAUUGGGCGUAAAGAGCUCGUAGGCGGCUGGUCGCGUCUGUCGUGAAAUCCUCUGGCUUAACUGGGGGCUUGCGGUGGGUACGGGCCGGCUUGAGUGCGGUAGGGGAGACUGGAACUCCUGGUGUAGCGGGUGGAAUGCGCAGAUAUCAGGAAGAACACCGGUGGCGAAGGCGGGUCUCUGGGCCGUUACUGACGCUGAGGAGCGAAAGCGUGGGGAGCGAACAGGAUUAGAUACCCUGGUAGUCCACGCCGUAAACGUUGGGCACUAGGGUGGUGGGGGGGCCUUUUCCGGGUCUUCCGCGCCGUAGCUAACGCAUUAAGUGCCCGCCCUGGGGGAGUACGGCCGCAAGGCUAAAACUCAAGGAAUUUGACGGGGC
This 900-nucleotide ribosomal RNA is filed under the name Actinomyces oris. RNAcentral's name for it is "bacterial SSU rRNA". It matches the Rfam family "Bacterial small subunit ribosomal RNA", at positions 36 to 919 of the family's 1533-position model. The record is from RNAcentral. Lineage: Bacteria; Bacillati; Actinomycetota; Actinomycetes; Actinomycetales; Actinomycetaceae.